AUUGAACGCUGGCGGCAUGCCUUACACAUGCAAGUCGAACGGCAGCAUGGAGAGCUUGCUCUCUGAUGGCGAGUGGCGAACGGGUGAGUAAUGCAUCGGAACGUACCGUGUAAUGGGGGAUAACGUAGCGAAAGUUACGCUAAUACCGCAUACGACCUGAGGGUGAAAGCAGGGGAUCGCAAGACCUUGCGUUAUACGAGCGGCCGAUGUCAGAUUAGCUAGUUGGUGAGGUAAAGGCUCACCAAGGCGACGAUCUGUAGCGGGUCUGAGAGGAUGAUCCGCCACCCUGGGACGGAGACACGGCCCAGACUCCUACGGGAGGCAGCAGUGGGGAAUGUUGGACAAUGGGGGCAACCCUGAUCCAGCCAUGCCGCGUGAGUGAAGAAGGCCUUCGGGUUGUAAAGCUCUUUCGGCCGGGAAGAAAUCGCACAGGCUAAUACUCUGUGUGGAUGACGGUACCGGCAUAAGAAGCACCGGCUAACUACGUGCCAGCCGCCGCCGUAA
Molecule: ribosomal RNA, 504 nt
Filed under: uncultured bacterium
Lineage: Bacteria
Description: partial 16S ribosomal RNA
Rfam family: Bacterial small subunit ribosomal RNA
Source: RNAcentral